AGUGAACGCUGGCGGUAGGCCUAACACAUGCAAGUCGAACGGCAGCACGGUAAGAGCUUGCUCUUACGGGUGGCGAGUGGCGGACGGGUGAGGAAUACAUCGGAAUCUACUUUUUCGUGGGGGAUAACGUAGGGAAACUUACGCUAAUACCGCAUACGACCUACGGGUGAAAGCAGGGGAUCUUCGGACCUUGCGCGAUUGAAUGAGCCGAUGUCGGAUUAGCUAGUUGGCGGGGUAAAGGCCCACCAAGGCGACGAUCCGUAGCCGGUCUGAGAGGAUGAUCAGCCACACUGGAACUGAGACACGGUCCAGACUCCUACGGGAGGCAGCAGUGGGGAAUAUUGGACAAUGGGCGCAAGCCUGAUCCAGCCAUACCGCGUGGGUGAAGAAGGCCUUCGGGUUGUAAAGCCCUUUUGUUGGGAAAGAAAAGCAGCAGGUUAAUACCCCGCUGUUCUGACGGUACCCAAAGAAUAAGCACCGGCUAACUUCGUG
RNAcentral lists this ribosomal RNA (492 nucleotides) under uncultured bacterium. RNAcentral describes it as "partial 16S ribosomal RNA". It matches the Rfam family "Bacterial small subunit ribosomal RNA", at positions 29 to 507 of the family's 1533-position model. The record is from RNAcentral.